GAUGAACGCUGGCGGCGUGCCUAAUACAUGCAAGUCGAGCGGACGGACGAGAAGCUUGCUUCUCUGCUGUUAGCGGCGGACGGGUGAGUAACACGUGGAUAACCUACCUAUAAGACUGGGAUAACUUCGGGAAACCGGAGAUAAUACCGGAUAAUAUUUUGAAACGCAUGGUUCAAAAGUGAAAGACGGUCUUGAUGUCACUUAUAGAUGGUUCCGCGCUGCAUUAGCUAGUUGGUAAGGUAACGGCUUACCAAGGCAACGAUGCAUAGCCGACCUGAGAGGGUGAUCAGUCACACUGGAACUGAGACACGGUCCAGACUCCUACGGGAGGCAGCAGUGGGGAAUCUUCGGCAAUGGGCGAAAGCCUGACGGAGCAACGCCGCGUGAGUGAUGAAGGUCUUCGGAUUGUAAAACUCUGUUAUUAGGGAAGAACAUAAGUGAAAUUAACUGUUCAUGUCUUGACGUUACCUAAACAGAAAGCCACGGCUAACUACGUG
Molecule: ribosomal RNA, 497 nt
Filed under: uncultured bacterium
Lineage: Bacteria
Description: partial 16S ribosomal RNA
Rfam family: Bacterial small subunit ribosomal RNA
Source: RNAcentral